UUAAAUCCUACUCCUAACAUCCAUCAUCCUCGGUCCUCACCCGUCUUGCGCGACUAGCGAUAACCCGGAUGCAAUAUCCACGUGGUACAGGGGUUACAUGCAAAAGUAGGCUUAUAAAUUUUGAACUAAUGUCGGCAACAGAACUCCGAGACUCUGAAGACAGAUGAGUCCCGCAGGACCCAAGGAAGGGCGAAAAAUAAAAAAUCUAACACCCGGUUGGGCUAUUCCCACCGCCUGACUUCUUUCGCGAAGUCGAUCGAGCUUCUGAGCUAGGGCUUUGUCCAUCUCUCUCUCGCCGGCCAGGAAUCGGUGUAGAAGACGCGGCGGUGAUCAAGAACCAGAGCUCCCUCCUCGUCCUCUCCUCUUCUUGGCGGUGAUCAAGAACCAGAGCUCCCUCCUUGUCCUUUCCUCUUUCUCUCCCUCGUCCUCUUCUUGGGCGGUAGACGCCGGAGGACGGAUGAGGAAGCGCGAUCUCGGGAUCCUCCUCCUCGCGGCCUUCGCCAUCUUCUUCUCCCUCCAGGUACUCCUCCCUCCCCUCCCCCCCCCCCUCCUCAACUCCUGCCG
This 564-nucleotide long non-coding RNA is filed under the name Phoenix dactylifera (date palm). RNAcentral describes it as "long non-coding RNA (PDAC_LNC014675)". Lineage: Eukaryota; Viridiplantae; Streptophyta; Magnoliopsida; Arecales; Arecaceae. The record is from RNAcentral.